Pollicipes pollicipes is the source of this 936-nucleotide long non-coding RNA. RefSeq lists it as uncharacterized. The record is from RefSeq and is a predicted model, not a curated record. The transcript has 3 exons. Lineage: Eukaryota; Metazoa; Arthropoda; Thecostraca; Pollicipedomorpha; Pollicipedidae.
UGGCGCGACUGCAGCGCCACCUGCAGACGCCGCGGGACAGCACGGCUGCUCCGGACGUCACGCCAGGAGACGCCGAGGCGGCGCUGUCAGGAGGAGCUGCCCCCUGCAGCCGGCCGUACGGUGGUGGUGGCGACGGCGGUGGCCGGUGCGACACCUCUGACGCGGCCGAUGCCCCGGGCUGGAGUCGGAGGGACGGCGCCGGGGAGACGCCAGACCAGCGUCGUAGGAGCGCCCCUGACGCCGCUGACGACGACGACCGCCGGCCGACCGGACUGCUUCACCCGGCGCCGUCCAGCCCGUACCACCUCCCCGGCCCGGACACCGGCCUCGGGACGACUGGUGCCGGCCUGACGGCCUGGAGACCGUGUGGGGAGACCUCAGAGGCCUGGAGACCGGGCGGGGGGACCUCAGGUGCCUGGAGACCGGGCGGAGAAGCUCAGGAAACCUGGGAGACCUGACGGGGAGACCUCAGAUUCCUGGGAACCGGACGGGGAGGCUCGGGAGGCCUGGAGACCGGGUGGGGAGACCUCAGGUGCCUGGAGACCGGGCGGGGAAACUCAGGAGACCUGGGAACCGGACGUGCACGACGCCCCUGACGGUUGGCUGCCGGACGGGGAGGCGUCUGAUGAUUGGCUGCGAGCUCCCAUCACGGCCGACGAGCUGCUGGAGGAGGCGCGCAGGAACGGCCGGCGCGCGUGGGGCCUGAACGAAGACGUGGCCGACUGCUACGACGACUCGCCUCCGAUAGAGACCAGCCAGUGACGCCGCCGGCCCCAGGCACCGGCACUCGGUUGAGACCCGGUGCAUUCCCGAGUGCUGCCGCCACAGCGCCUUCUGCCGAACUACACAGGACAGAUGACCUUUGUUAUCUGCGUAUUGCUCAGUACUGACGUUCGAGCUUACUCGAGUUGAACGAAGUUGACUCGUUUUUCUUAA